GCGGAAGUAGUUCAGUGGUAGAACACCACCUUGCCAAGGGGGGGUCGCGAGUUCGAACCUCGUCUUCCGCUCCA
Molecule: transfer RNA, 74 nt
Filed under: Priestia megaterium
Lineage: Bacteria; Bacillati; Bacillota; Bacilli; Caryophanales; Bacillaceae
Description: tRNA-Gly
Rfam family: tRNA
About the family: Transfer RNA (tRNA) molecules are approximately 80 nucleotides in length.
Source: RNAcentral